RNAcentral lists this ribosomal RNA (491 nucleotides) under Acinetobacter sp. SFI18. Its description in RNAcentral is "bacterial SSU rRNA". It matches the Rfam family "Bacterial small subunit ribosomal RNA", at positions 8 to 495 of the family's 1533-position model. Lineage: Bacteria; Pseudomonadati; Pseudomonadota; Gammaproteobacteria; Moraxellales; Moraxellaceae. The record is from RNAcentral. RNAcentral also lists the same sequence under 1 other name.
AGAGUUUUGAUCCCCUGGCUCAGAUUGAACGCUGGCGGCAGGCUUAACACAUGCAAGUCGAGCGGGGAAAGGUAGCUUGCUACCUGACCUAGCGGCGGACGGGUGAGUAAUGCUUAGGAAUCUGCCUAUUAGUGGGGGACAACAUUCCGAAAGGAAUGCUAAUACCGCAUACGCCCUACGGGGGAAAGCAGGGGAUCUUCGGACCUUGCGCUAAUAGAUGAGCCUAAGUCAGAUUAGCUAGUUGGUGGGGUAAAGGCCUACCAAGGCGACGAUCUGUAGCGGGUCUGAGAGGAUGAUCCGCCACACUGGGACUGAGACACGGCCCAGACUCCUACGGGAGGCAGCAGUGGGGAAUAUUGGACAAUGGGCGAAAGCCUGAUCCAGCCAUGCCGCGUGGGGAAGAAGGCCUUUUGGUUGUAAAGCACUUUAAGCGAUNNGGAGGCUACGAGAAUAAUACUCUUUCCCUUUGGNAGNUAACAGAUACAGGCNCU